GCAGCCGCGGUAAUACGUAGGUUGCAAGCGUUGUCCGGAUUUACUGGGUGUAAAGGGCGUGUAGGCGGAGAUGCAAGUCAGGAGUGAAAUCCCGGGGCUCAACCCCGGAACUGCUUUUGAAACUGUAUCCCUUGAGUGUCGGAGAGGCAAGCGGAAUUCCUAGUGUAGCGGUGAAAUGCGUAGAUAUUAGGAGGAACACCAGUGGCGAAGGCGGCUUGCUGGACGAUAACUGACGCUGAGGCGCGAAAGCGUGGGGAGCAAACAGGAUUAGAUACCCC
This 278-nucleotide ribosomal RNA is filed under the name uncultured Oscillospiraceae bacterium. RNAcentral's name for it is "partial 16S ribosomal RNA". It matches the Rfam family "Bacterial small subunit ribosomal RNA", at positions 511 to 788 of the family's 1533-position model. Lineage: Bacteria; Bacillati; Bacillota; Clostridia; Eubacteriales; Oscillospiraceae. The record is from RNAcentral.